GUCAGCACAGAAAAAGAAUAGUUUGCAUUUGGGGUUUUAUUUUUUGCAUACAGAGCAGCAAAUUAAAAAGCAAUUGGCAAGUAAUGUGACUGACAAACUUUCUGAGCUGCAUUUAGUAUUUUAAUGAGCCUUCUUAACUCUGAGUGAGAGAGAAAGCGAAGAUAUGUUUUCCCUAGACCUUUAAAGAAAACAAGGAGCCAUUCCAAUGGAAAGUACCAAUCUAGGAAUCAUUCCCUGAUGAACACUUAAGAAGUCUUUUUUUGCAUUGACAACAUGGAAAUUGUCUGGGGCUGCCGUGAUUUGAGGUCAGAAGAGCUGAUUUUGGGAAGUUCCCACUCGACUCUUGGCUGAAAUAUGGUAACCAGAUGAUGUCUGCACCUUGGAUCUCCAUAACCAAAGGAACGAGGCGAUGAGGAUCGGCAGAUCCCACUGGGACCUCCAGACACAGUCAGCAUGUUUGGUUGGAACAGCACAUCCAGAGGUGACAACAUCAGUUCAUGAAAAAGAUGAGUAACUUUAAUAGAAAAAGGCCACCAAGCUGGCAGAGAAGAACUGGCAGCACAACCUGACCUUGUGGAGUGGAAACAGAUGAUGCUGGUGGGACAAUAGGAAUCACCGCACCGUUUCUUGCGUGUGUUGCAUUGCCUGCAGUGGAGUUUCUUCGCUAACACACUAGAUGCAGAGCUAAGAGAAGAAGUGAAGGAGUUGCUGGGGCUAUUUGGAUUUUCAGUGGGAUACAUGUACAGUGGAAGCAUGAACCGUCACACCAGGUCUUUGGCAGUUGAGGAACAUGUCUACAAAAACCAGGCCUUCUCUGAAAUUUUGCAGGCUUGACAGUAAGAAAAUGCCCAUGCUAUUUGUGCAGCUGCUGCUA
This 874-nucleotide long non-coding RNA is filed under the name Struthio camelus australis. RNAcentral's name for it is "lncRNA (ENSSCUG00000001704.1)". The record is from RNAcentral. Lineage: Eukaryota; Metazoa; Chordata; Aves; Struthioniformes; Struthionidae.